This 253-nucleotide ribosomal RNA is filed under the name uncultured bacterium. Its description in RNAcentral is "partial 16S ribosomal RNA". It matches the Rfam family "Bacterial small subunit ribosomal RNA", at positions 524 to 776 of the family's 1533-position model. The record is from RNAcentral.
UACGUAGGGGGCUAGCGUUGUCCGGAAUCAUUGGGCGUAAAGCGCGUGUAGGCGGUCCGGUAAGUCCGCUGUGAAAGUCGGGGGCUCAACCCUCGAAAGCCGGUGGAUACUGUCGGGCUAGAGUACGGAAGAGGCGAGUGGAAUUCCUGGUGUAGCGGUGAAAUGCGCAGAUAUCAGGAGGAACACCAAUUGCGAAGGCAGCUCGCUGGGACGUUACUGACGCUGAGACGCGAAAGCGUGGGGAGCAAACAGG